This 197-nucleotide ribosomal RNA is filed under the name rumen bacterium enrichment culture clone AVCTGRB 1B. RNAcentral's name for it is "partial 16S ribosomal RNA". It matches the Rfam family "Bacterial small subunit ribosomal RNA", at positions 335 to 524 of the family's 1533-position model. The record is from RNAcentral.
ACUCCUACGGGAGGCAGCAGUGGGGAAUAUUGCACAAUGGGCGCAAGCCUGAUGCAGCCAUGCCGCGUGUAUGAAGAAGGCCUUCGGGUUGUAAAGUACUUUCAGCGAGGAGGAAGGCGUUGUGGUUAAUAACCGCAGCGAUUGACGUUACUCGCAGAAGAAGCACCGGCUAACUCCGUGCCAGCAGCCGCGGUAAU